Molecule: ribosomal RNA, 1303 nt
Filed under: Alexandrium tamarense
Lineage: Eukaryota; Dinophyceae; Gonyaulacales; Pyrocystaceae
Description: partial large subunit ribosomal RNA
Rfam family: Eukaryotic large subunit ribosomal RNA
Source: RNAcentral
CCGGGCGAAAUUUAAGCAUAUAAGUAAGUGGUGGAAAUUAAACCAACUGGGAUCUCUUCAGUAAUUGCGCAUGAACCAGGAUAUGCUUAGCUUGACAAAUGGAGCUGCUGGCUCUGAAUUGUAUUGUGGGAAUGUAUUACCAACAGAGGUGCAGGUGUCAGCCAUUUGAAAGAAAGCAUCAAUGAGGGUGAGAGUCCUGUUUGUCAUGUGCAGCCUUCUGUGCACGGUGUAUAUUUGCUGAGUCACACUCCUUGGCAUUGGAAUGCAAAGUGGGUGGUAAGUUUCAUGCAAAGGUAAAUAUGCAAUUGAGACUGAUAGCGCACAAGUACCAUGAGGGACAUAUGAAAAGGACUUUGAACAGAGAAUUAAAUGAGUUUGUAUUUGCUAAACACAAAGUAAACAGACUUGAUUUCCUCAGUGAGAUUGUAGUGCUUGCUUGACAAUGGGUUUUGGCUGCAAGUGCAAUAAUUCUUGCUUUGUGUGCCAGUUUUUAUGUGGACAUUUGAUUACCUUUGCACAUGAAUGGUAAUUUUCCUGCGGGGUGUGGAUUGCAUAUGCAUGUAAUGAUUUGCAUGUUUGUUAAAUGUGUCUGGUGUAUUUGUUUGUGUCCUUGUCCUUGAGGUUGCUUUCUCCCUUGGGCUUACAUGCCUGCACACGGGGAUAUCUUUAGUAAUUGCGAAUGAACAAGGAUAUGCUUAGCUUGACAAAUGGAGCUAUUGGCUUUGAAUUGUAUUGUGGAAAUGUAUUACCAACAGAGGUGCAGGUGCCAGCCUAUUGAAAUAAAGCGUCAAUGAGGGUGAGAAUCCUGUUUGUCAUGUGCAGCCCUUUGUGCACGGUGUAUAUUUGCUGAGUCACACUCCUUGGCAUUGGAAUGCAAAGUGGGUGGUAAGUUUCAUGUAAAGGUAAACAUGCAAUUGAGACUGAUAGCACACAAGUACCAUGAGGGAAAUAUGAAAAGGACUUUGAAAAGAGAAUUAAAUGAGUUUGUAUUUGCUGAACACAAAGUAAACAGACUUGAUUUGCUUGGUGGGAUUGCUCUUGCUUGACAAGAGCUUUGGGCUGUGGGUGUAAUGAUUCUUUCUUUGCAUGCCAGUUUCUAUUUGUACAUCUGAUUACCUUUGCACAUGAAUGAUAAGUCUCCUGUGGGGGGGUGGAUUGCAUGUGCAUGUAAUGAUUUGUGUUUUGAUAAAUGUGUCUGGUGUAUGUGUGUGUUCCUGUGCUUGGGGAUGCUUCCUUCCUUGGACUUACAAGCCCUGACACACACAUGCUGGCAAAAUGCUUCUGCUUGACCCGUCUUGAAAAU